GACGAACGCUGGCGGCGUGCCUAAUACAUGCAAGUAGAACGCUGAAGAGAGGAGCUUGCUCUUCUUGGAUGAGUUGCGAACGGGUGAGUAACGCGUAGGUAACCUGCCUUGUAGCGGGGGAUAACUAUUGGAAACGAUAGCUAAUACCGCAUAACAAUGGAUGACACAUGUCAUUUAUUUGAAAGGGGCAAUUGCUCCACUACAAGAUGGACCUGCGUUGUAUUAGCUAGUAGGUGAGGUAAUGGCUCACCUAGGCGACGAUACAUAGCCGACCUGAGAGGGUGAUCGGCCACACUGGGACUGAGACACGGCCCAGACUCCUACGGGAGGCAGCAGUAGGGAAUCUUCGGCAAUGGGGGCAACCCUGACCAAGCAACGCCGCGUGAGUGAAGAAGGUUUUCGGAUCGUAAAGCUCUGUUGUAAGUCAAGAACGGGUGUGAGAGUGGAAAGUUCACACUGUGACGGUAGCUUACCAGAAAGGGACGGCUAACUACGUG
This 497-nucleotide ribosomal RNA is filed under the name uncultured bacterium. RNAcentral describes it as "partial 16S ribosomal RNA". It matches the Rfam family "Bacterial small subunit ribosomal RNA", at positions 28 to 507 of the family's 1533-position model. The record is from RNAcentral.